CUACGGGGGGCAGCAGUGGGGAAUAUUGCACAAUGGGCGCAAGCCUGAUGCAGCCAUGCCGCGUGUAUGAAGAAGGCCUUCGGGUUGUAAAGUACUUUCAGCGGGGAGGAAGGGAGUAAAGUUAAUACCUUUGCUCAUUGACGUUACCCGCAGAAGAAGCACCGGCUAACUCCGUGCCAGCAGCCGCGGUAAUACGGAGGGUGCAAGCGUUAAUCGGAAUUACUGGGCGUAAAGCGCACGCAGGCGGUUUGUUAAGUCAGAUGUGAAAUCCCCGGGCUCAACCUGGGAACUGCAUCUGAUACUGGCAAGCUUGAGUAUCGUAGAGGUGGGUAGAAUUCCAGGUGUAGCGGUGAAAUGCGUAGAGAUCUGGAGGAAUACCGGUGGCGAAGGCGGCCCCCUGGACGAAGACUGACGCUCAGGUGCGAAAGCGUGGGGAGCAUACAGGAUUAGAUACCCCUGUAGUC
RNAcentral lists this ribosomal RNA (464 nucleotides) under uncultured bacterium. Its description in RNAcentral is "partial 16S ribosomal RNA". It matches the Rfam family "Bacterial small subunit ribosomal RNA", at positions 339 to 795 of the family's 1533-position model. The record is from RNAcentral.